GACGUCACGGGCGCCCGCCUGCCCUGCGCUCCACCGGGCAGAGCGUGCGCGGCCGCCGAGCACAUGGGCCCGCGGGCCGGCGGGCUCGGGGCGGCCUGGCCCGGGAGGAGCGGCGAGGGGGCGCCAGCAAGGAUGGGCCUCGGCACCCCCGGCCCCCGGCGAGUGGAUUUCCACGCGGGAAGGAGGUUGGCGGCGCCGGUGACCUUCGGAGACACGGCUGGAUCCACCUUCCAGCCUGAUCUUUUGACCAGAAAGAAAUUAAAAAGAUACCUGUCAUGCUGGCUGCGCCCGUCAGCUGCAUGCAGCUUCGUUCAAGGAUUUUUGGAGCCCUGUGGAUUUACAGUGAUACUCGGCCGCCUGGGGGAUCACGCUGGUGGACGCAUUCUCUGGAAUUAAGUAUCCCGGCACAUUUCUGGAUGCUGAAGGUGGUUUUAAGGAAGGCCCCGGCUGAGCACCUUGUGGAUCCCUGCAGCCUGGACGCCUGUGGGGGACAGAGGACUGAGCUCUCUGUCCUUCUCUCGGACUGAAAUGUUCGGUUGGGUCCCUGCCAGCUCCCUUGGGGGCUCCCUAUGAAACAAUCCUGUUACACCUGGGAUUUAGGUGCCUUCAAUCUGGAAAAAAUACAUAUCCGUUCAGCACUCCAGAGGGACUUCAGAGCUGUCCUUCCCUGAACUAAAGCUGGAGUAUUUUAGGAUUUGGAGAAUUAAGGUGAGGAAACUACUGCUCAGAGAUGUGAAAUAACUCAGCAGAGGUCACACAGCUAAUAAGUGACAAACAGGAAUGUCCAAGCAGUGAAGGUCAUUUCCAGUCGCCGAGUCUUUCACAAGCCCAUGUCUGGACCGGGACAUCUCAUGUCUCAUCGUGAGCAGGAGACUGGAAAAUAACUGGCCGGAGGGGAUAGGCCCAGCAGUAACACUGGCCCAGAGAGAAUUGAGUGCUUUUUCCCGGUGACAAGAAGACACACGCAGCUGGAAAAAGGAGCCUAGGCCGUCACCAUGUUCCCCAAAUAGCAGAACACCUCCCUCCUUCCCACCUUCUCUCCCGUGGCACAGAAUACGUUUUACCAGGGAUCGGUCACUGCUGAGCUGUCGUCACUUAAUGUGGCUUUGACAGAAUAGUUGGUCUGGAAAUCUUAUUUUCAAUUAAAUGACCUUAUUGAACUGCCUUGGUUUUGAAAAGAUUCCAUUAGGAUGGCUAAUUAUAUAGCAGUUGCUCCAAGGAGAUGCUGGCACUCCAUUUCAGCUCUUAAGUAAUUCGAAUCAAAUGCUGUCUUCUUUCCUCCUUGGAGCUGUGAGCGACCGUCUUCCUCUCACACUGCAGGCUUCUCGUGAGUUAUUUUUGGAAAUCCAAGUCAAAACAGCAAUUUUGGCAGAGGCCAUUUCUAGCCUAGCAGAGUAAACCGUAUGUACUGAUAAAAACAGCCGAAGAGUCAGUGCCUUUAAAAAGCAACUAAACCAUCUCCUUCUGUGGGGGUUAAAUUUGGGGGACCUCCAAACUGUCCUUUGUACUGUCCUAUUCCUUCGUGAGCUCUAACUGAAGUCAAAGACAUUGGAAUUCCUUUAAGAUUAGCAAAGCUUUGUCCGUUUGCAAACUGUCAUCAUGGUCAUUUUGUUUCAAGGUGGCAGGCCUUGGCAGAAUUUACCAGGCACUCUGUUUUGGCCUCUGGAUCUCCCCUGAAACGUGGAAAUCACUUUCUGUUCCCAUUCUGUGCUGUUUGCUUCUGUCACCAGAGCACUCGCGACAUUCCUCGCGACAUUCCUCGUUACGCAUACCAAGCAGUCAGAUCUUCCUGCUCACCCGUUAGAACGGAGCUUCUUGUGGCCAGGGGCUGUGUUUUUCAUCUUAUUUCCUUCCUGGCCCAUAAUAGAUGCUCAAAUAGUUGGAUGAAUAGAUAGACUAGAUAGAUGAAUGAAUAGAAUCCUAUUUCUAUUUUUCUCCUUUUUAAAAAAAAAAUCAAUCAUUUAUUACAUAAAUAGUAAAUGAAUGUUUUCACCUUGGGGGGAAAAAACAGUUUCCAAAUAAGGUUAAAGUCCUUUUUUUUUUUUCCAGUUUUCUUUUUUUUUAAAGAUUGGCACCUGAGCUAACAACUGUUGCCAAUCUUCCUUUUUCUUUUUUCCUGUUUUUUCUCCCCAAAUCCCCCCAAUACAUAGUUGUGUAUUUUAGUGGUGGGUCCUUCUAGUUGUGGCGUAUGGGACACCACCUCACUGUGGCCUGAUGAGCGGCGCCAUGUCUGUACUCAGGAUGCGAAUCAGUGAAACCCUGGGCCGCCGAAGCAGAGCACACGACCUUAACGACUUGGCCCCAGGGCCGGCGCCUGAAGUCCUUUUUUGAUCACUGCCCAUGAUCCUUGUUUCCCCAUCAUCUCUGCUUAGGUUAUCCCUUUGGAGCACAUCCUCACAGACCUCUCUAAUGCGUUUAUGUACACGCACAUACACACACACAGAGUACUGUUUUUGUAGACCUGUGAUAAAGAGAUUAUUCUGCAACUUGCCUUUUCCUACUCAGCAAUAUAUCAAGUGCUAUCCAUGUCAGCUACCUUAUUCUUUGUAACUGCUACAUAGUUUUAUUACGUUGUGUGGCUAUAAUACCUUUUAUGUGGACCAAAUAAAUAAAUUCCUUAUCUGUUUUCAUGCUCAUUAUAGUUCAGGAUCCCUUCUCCUGUAUAUGUUGACAAACUAACCCUGUCCACUGCUAUCUUUUGGUAGCUACAGUACAUUUCAUCAGAAUCAGCCAAUUGCCCUGGGGAUUUUGCUAAACCAGUAGACAGAAUCAUGAGAAAUGAAAUGAGGGUUGCCAGAGGGACCUGAAUUCCCUUCUCUGCAGAAGCUAGGGAAGUAGGUGCACUCUGCACUGGGAAUACCACAGGUCUGGAGAGCGAGGGAUGUUAGAUUUCCUCGGGCAGGUCAUUUCCUAUCCCUGGACCUUAUUUUUCUCAUCUGCCCAAUGGACUCAGUGAGCCUCUUUCAACUGUUAGACCCUGAAUAAUAGGGCUGACACAGUGCCACCAGAACGGAUAAACAGAAUAUAUUAACUCUCUCUCCGCUAUGUGGCGGGAUGGGAAAGGGGCACGUUAAAAAUACUUUUUACGGGCCGGCCCCGUCGCCGAAUGGUUAAGUUCAUGUGCUCUGCUUUGGUGGCCCAGGGUUUGGAUCCUGGGCGCGGACAUGGCACUGCUCAUUAGGCCAUGUUGAGGCAGCAUCCCACAUGCCACAACUAGAAGGACCCACAACUAAAAUAGACAACUAUGUACUGGGGGGAUUUGGGGAGAAAAAAAAAGCAGGGAAAAAAAUAGAUUGGCAACAGUUGUUAGCUCAGAUGCCAAUCUUUAAUUAAAAAAAUAUGUAUUUUAAUUAUAUUUUUAUUCUAUUUUAAUUAAGAUAAAUUUUAAAAUUUUAAAAUAGAGAUUCAGCCCAGAGCCCUUCACUGUGUUCAUGUCACAAAGAGUCUGUGAUUGGCCAGGAAUGCACUGCCUCUAGAUCUCACACUUCUCUCUUAUUCUUUUCUUAUCCAAUUAAAAUGUUUAUAUUUUUUCCUUUGCUUUGUGUGGUCUUUUUGUCCUAAGCAAGGCAAUCGGGUGUUGGGGAGAGAGAUUAUGGACUCCUGAGUUCGACCAUCAGGUUUGUCUAGUUCUAGCUGUGUGUUCUUAGACAAGUCACUAACCUUCUCUGGGUUUCCAUCUAUUAAUAUGGUGAUUCCAAAUUAGCCAAGUAUUCAGUAAAAAAAACAAAAACAAAAGGUAAAACCAGACUCGCUUGUGAAUGUUUCAUCUGGCAUUUAUGAACCUUGUCACCUGCGGAUAGAUCAUCUCGUGAAUUGAUGAGGCAUCCUAAGAGACCACCAAAACUCAUUAAAUAGUCUUGGUUCACAUGAGAACUGUGCAGCUGCUCUGGCCCCUGGUGACACACCAAGUGUCAGUGGGUUCUGAGGGAGGCCCAGGGAAGGUUCUGUGCUGCCAUGAUUCAUAGGUUGAGUUUCCCUCUAAGCUUCAAGGCUUUGAUCACGUGUCCCCUGCUUUGAGAUGCAGGACCACAAGGGUCACAGGAUCUGAUUCACACACUGGUGGGUUUCCCUUGGGGUCCCCAUCAGGCUUUCCCAUGUAGGGUGAGAGUUCUCGUCCCUUGUCUUGGCAUUACACAUUGAUCUGGAGACACCAUGGUUCUGCAGGUGAAAGGUUGGGGUGAAUGGGUGUGAAAAGUGCGUGGGAGUCACAGCCCCAAAAGGUCUCUGGGAGUUUGUCUUUCCUGCUCCCAACACUGUUUUGCAUCUCUACCGUGAGCUUCUGUUUCUGAGCACCCCUUGAGCUAAGCUGAUCUGUUGAGCCGAUCUGUGGAGGAAUGAGGCCACUGUGAGCUACCUGCCGGGGCAGGUGACCUCACCCCUCCCAGCCUCUGCUUCCCACCCCGCUGGGUCUUUAAUAUGAAAUGAGACUGCAGUAGGUGCUGAGCUCGCAUCACCUUCCCAUUCCGCUUUCUGAUAUGGAAAGCAUCAUUUUAUAGGCUCUGAAUCUGUGUUCUGAGCUUCCAAAAGCCUACUGUAAACAUUUUACACAUUAACCAAAAUAAAACAAGAAGGCAGCACAGUGAAUGGAGAGAAUAUUAUUAGCAUGUUACACAUCUUAAAUUGGUAAAAAAAAAAAAAAAAGGAAUGAUGGAUCAUUUUCAUUUACGACUCUCACUCCCUGCUAAUUUUUCAGCAGCUCUCUCCUCGUCUCAAUAAAAUGCUGGAAAUCUAGUUGGCAUUGUUGCAAGUAAAUGCAGAGCCAGUCUCGACUGUCGCGCUGUCUCUCCCUGUAUUUGAUCCUCAUCCAGGUGAUCGAUACCAUUUUCAUUCAUAAUCCGGAAACUUUAAGAAAUGAAUCAGCUUGACCUAUGAUUCACAGAUACUUGAUCUGAAAUACUUGAUGUGGUUGUGAGGGGGUGGGAGGUAGAGUCAGAAAUAAAUUCCGUUGACCCCGAAAGUCAGCUUAGGUGAACUAGUAUGGUGGGGGAGGGCGAAUUAUCAUCCUGUGGUUUGUGUGGAUGGUUCCUGCUCUCAGGGAGCUGCACUGUAUUGGGGGGACUUAAGGUGGCCACACAACCAGGGUUGAUGAAAGAAUUCCAGGUUAUGCCCGUUGCUGCAGCCUCUUAGACGGUUAACGUGCCCUUCCACUAGCAGAAGUGUCACAGUGUGGAAAUAGAGGGUUCUGAAGAGACUAGACUGGGAGUUCUUAAAGGUCAGAGGUCUCAUUUUAUUCAUAUGUGCAUCCCCAGCGCCUGGCCUCUCGUAAGCAGUUAAUAAAAGAAAGACUUGCUAGGUGGGUGAGUGAGAACGUAAGUAGAUUCUUCACCUCCACUCUCUGAAUUUGGUCUCUGAAUUUCUGUUUCCCGUUUAUCUUUGUGUGCUCGGGCCGCUAGGGUGCCUCUACUGCGUUUUGACUGAACCAGAGAUUUCAGAACUUCAGCUGGGAAUCGCUUUGGUUGCAUGUACACGCCCUGGUGACCUGUAGCUUCACGACUUGCGGUGCGUUAUCCAAAUGAGUUUAUAACUUACCGAAGUACUGAAAACAGUGGCUUCCAUGAUGUCUCCUCCCAAGAAAUGGUGGUGGAGGUGGAGGUGAUGCUAUUCUUGUUAGCUGUCUGUCUUUGCUGCCUCUUGUCUUUUCUCCCCUAGCUAGAGGAUUCAUAGACCUUUAAAUACAUAUGUAUUUCAAAAAUAUAAGAAAUUGGAAAAAGAGAGUCAGAAAGCUAUCCAUAAUGUCAUGACCCUUGGUUACAUAGUAGCAAUUAUUAUUAAUGUGUGACUUGUUUUAUACAAAGUUUUUUACAUAGUUGUUAUCUUAAGGAGUUUUCCACUUUUUCUUCCAUCUGUAUUUUUCUGCAAGCAUUGCCCAUGUUAUUUGAGAACCUAUUCAACUACCAUUUGUUACUUUUAUCCAUAUGGUUGCUGGUAGAUGGUUGUUUACUUUUUUCCCUUUCGUAAAAGAAAUUUUCCUUCUGGGCUGUCCUGUAUCUCAAGAAAAUCUCAAAAGUGAAAUUAUUGGAUCAAAAGAUAUGAAUGUUGUUAAAUUAUAUGUAUAUCUAUAUUUAAAUGAAUAGAAUUUAUUUUUUAGAGAAAUUUUAGGUUUACAAAAAAUUGCGUAGAAAGUACAGAGAGCUCCCACAUCCUAGCCCCACCCCCAUUCCCCAUAUUGUUAACAUCUUGCAUUAGUAGGGUGCAUUUGUUACAGUUCAUGAACCAAAACUGAUACUUAUGGCUAAAGUCCAUAGUUUACAUUUAGGAUUCUGUGUUAAAUGGUUCUUUGGGAUUUUCGCAAAUGCAUAAUGUCACGUAGCCACCAUUAUAGUAUCAUGCAAAAUGGUUUUACAGCCCUAAAAAUCCCCUGGGCCCCUGUUAAUCCCUCCCUCCCUCCCUCUCUCAAACCCUUCGCAACCAGUGAUCUUCCACUCUUUCCAUCGUUUUGCCUUUCCCAGAACGUCAUAUAGUUGGAAUCACACAGUAUGUAGGCUUUCAGACAGGCUUCCUUCACUUAGCAGUAUGCGUUUAAGAUUCCUCUCCGUGUCUUUUCAUGGCUUGAUGGUUCAUUUCUUUUUAGGGCUAAAUAGUAUUCCGUGUCUGGAUGUACUACACUUUAUCUGUUCACUUACUGAAGGACAUCUUCAUUACUUCUAAGUUUUGGCAAUUAUGAAUAAAGCUGCUAUAAAUAUUCGUCUGCAGGCUUUUGAGGGGACAUGUUUUCAACUCAUUUGGUUAGACACCAAGGAAAGUGAUUGCUGGAUCACAUGGUAAGACUAUUUCUGUAAGUAACUGCCAAAGCUUUCUAUUUUUUACGUUUAUUCAACAGAUUUUAGUUGUAAUACCAUGAACAUGGUUAAUCCUCCAUCUACACUUAGUGUUAUAAUGAACACCCUCUCCUCAGUCUUUUUUUGUGUGUGAGGAAGAUUGGCUCUGAGCUAACAUCUAUGCCAAUCUUCCUCUAUUUAUUUGGGAUGCUGCCACAGCAUGGCUUGACGAGCAGUGCUAGGUCCACGCCUGGGAUCCGAACCUGAGAACCCUGGGCCACCAAAGCAGAGCACAUGAACUUAACCACUAUGUCAACAGGCUGGCCCCCUCUCCUCACUUUUAAGCCUACCGCUACCAUGUCACACAGAGAUGCUCAGAGUGGUGUUUUCAUCUGGAUCCAAGUAUAUUGUGGCCACAAAGUCUCAUAGCAUAAAAAUAGCAACAACAACAAUAAUAAUCUUGAUGAUAAUAAUAGCCAAGAAUUAUUGAUUACUUAGCAUUGUCAGGCUCUUUACAUGUGUUAUUUCAUUUCACCAUUACAGCUACCCUCUGGUUAGGUACCAUUACUACCCACAAUUUGGAGAUAAGAUCGAGGCUUAGGGAGAGUGAAUAACUUGCACAAGUGUUAGUGGUAAAGCCAAGUGUGCGUCCAUCUAGUUUUGCUCGACUCUGCUCAGCAAUGUAUUAUGCCAGAGUUAAGAGCAUGAGAUUUAGAGUCAGAUGGACGUAGGUUAGUAUUCUGGACCUACCAUUUUGCCAGUCAUGUGAUCUUGACCUGGUGACUUCUAGCUGCAGUGUGCCCAUCUGUAAAAUGGGAUAAUAACACCUACCCAUGGCAAAUGCUGUCUGUUGUCUCCUCAAUAGCUAUGGCCUCCCCACCACACAGAACCAGGUUCAGGUGUUAGGGAAGAGGCCCCAGAUCUCAGGGAAGAGAGGCCCCAUCCCAGCCUCCUGAAAUGAAUCAAGAUUGGUUUAAGUCAGAUAUGGUAAUGGUGGGCAUGUUAUCUAGUUUUGUUGGGGUAAGCAUGCUAGGGAGGGGUUCUCUUCCCAAGUAAAAAGACAAAGCCCCCCAUAGGGGAAGCUCAUACUUAUCUUUUCUUCCUGCCUGGAUGUUGGGCAUGAUACCUGGAGGUGCAGCAGCCAUCUUGCAAGCCUAAGCUGACAAGCUAAUAGACUAAAAUGGUAGAGCAGAAAAGAUAGAAAGAGCCUAGGUCAUUGACAGCAUCGUUAAGCUGUUCGACCAGCCCAAGACAGAAGACUACCUCCACGCUUUUUGCUAUUGAAACAGUUCUUACUUGUUUAUGCCACCCCAAGCUGAGUUGUCUUCUCUUUGCAGCUGAGAGCAUUUCUAAUAGAUAAACAGUUUUCCACCAAAGCACAGGGUUGAGUAACUUAGUAUGAUGGUUGAGAGCCCAAAUUCUAGACUUGGAGUUCUGGGGUUUUAUUCCUAGUUCUUCCACCAACCAGCUGUGUGACCUGGACAAGUCACUGAGCUUCUCUGUGCCUCACUGUCCUCAUCUGUAAAAUUCCCAAUAAAUGUGUACUGGGAUCGAAUGAGGGAUAAUAGUGCUACUUACCUCCCAAGAUUAUUAUGAGCGUUCAUAAAAUGACUAAGUAUUUUAUAAAAUGACUAGAGCAUAGCCCGACACAUAGUAAGUGGUUAUACGCAUGUUUGUCAAAAAAAAAACAAUUAAAGAAAAGGAGUCACUAUUACUGGCUUCAGUUUGAACCCCGAUGUGAUCCUUGGGCCACAUGCAGUAUUCAAGCAGAAGCUUGACCCUUUCACUCCCCAGACUCAUGGAGCAUGAAGCUCCCACUAAAAUCUGUCUCAAAGCAGCAACAGGUGGUUUCUUUUUAACAGAAAAGAUUCCUUAGAGCAGGUUGACUUAAAACAGGAGGGGCUGUGAUAUCAAGGCGUGUCAGGGAGUGAAUGACCGAAAUACCCAAACUUGCCCAUGCAAAUGGCUCUGAGUCUCCCCUGACUGCCCUUUAGAAGGUUCUAGACUUCUGUGAACUCCUUUUUGAAAGGGUCUUUCCACCAGUGGCUUAUUCUUUUGAAUCUCCUUACACCUUUCUUGCUGGUGGCUGGUGGGUGGGAGUGGGGAGGAAGGGGUGACACCUGCCUGCGUUCGGGGCCCUUUUCCCUUGUGAGGGACGAGACCGCUGGCCAGUAUGUGAGGGAGCUGGCUGGACCUGGUCUCUCUCACUGUCUACUGCCCACAGUGCCAUCCUCUGUAAAGAGCAGAUUUGAAUUUGGGCAGCAACUCAGCAUUUUUUGGAAACCUAUCUCGUUUGUGAGCUUAAAGAUAGACGUGCCCAUUACCAAAUCCAGUGGAAUCUUCCUUCAAAAUAUAUGCCUGUUCCACUCCUCACCCUCGCCUCCAGAGACAGUCCACACCAGGCCACCUCCCCUUCUGCCUGGAUUACUGCCUCGUAACUGGCCUUCCCGUUUCUACCCUCCCCUUCCUUCUCCCUCAGCAGCCAGGGGACCCUUUAAAAAUGUCAACCAAAUCAUUGGACUCACCUGCUGAGAACCCUCCAAUGGAGUCCCAUCUCACUUGGAAUAAAGUCCUCAGUCCCUACUGUGCCCUACGAGGCCCUCCCUGCCACCCCCGCUCACUCUACUCUCCCCACUGGCCUGGCUGUCAGUCAAACAUACCUAAGCACAGGCUGGCCUCAGGGCCUUAGCACGGAAUGUUCCCCUUUUUCCCUCUAUACCUGCCUGGCUCAUUUCCUCACCUCAUUCAGAUCUCUGCUCAGAUGUCAACUCCCAGAGAGGCCUUCCCUGGUCACCCCCUCUAACACAGGUCCCCUCACCCCUCAUUUUCUGUCGUUAUCUAUAGUUCAUAGACUUGCUGACAUUAUUACAAAUUUGGUGACUUUCUGCCUUCCCCAUCAGAAUAUAAGCCCUACAAGGAAAGAGGCAUUGUUUUGUUCAUUCAGGUACCCACAGAACCCAGAACAUUCUGCAAUUGGUGCUCAGUAUAUAGUAAACUAGAUAAAGCCUUUUUUUGGACAGAAAUAAGGUCUGUCUGACAAAGUUCUAAGCCUGAUGUCUCUUGUGAACCUGCCAAGUUGACCCUGAAUCCACUUCCCGGAAAGCUCCAGAUACAUUCUGGAUGAUGGGAGCAACGCCGGACCAGUGUUGAACAUCCCAAAGCAAGUACUUUGAGAAUGAAAGUGUGGGAGCCUGGAUGACUCCUCCUGCAUUUGUCUAAAAAUCCUCCUUAGCACCUUUAGUUCCUUUUCUCCCUUCCUCUGCUCCUGGGCACCAGACAAGCAAUCCCAAAUGUGGUGUCUUUGCACCGGUCAGAUCAGAGUUCUCAUCUGGGGUGGUUUAAAAACAACAUGGCCCCAUUCCUUGACAUUCUCCCCUUUGAAAGAUGGGAUCUGGGUCCUUUCCUUGAGUGUUGUGAUGGCUUCAAGCAGUAGUCACACAAGGGCACGCAGCUCCUGCCUGGUUUCUUUGGGAUGCCAUUCUGGGGAAGUACUCAGACUCCGUGCUGAAGAAGCCACAUGUACAUGCCCUGGUCCAUGGUCUCAGCUGAGCUCGCAGCCAGCACCCAGCACUGGCCGACAGCCAUGCCGGCUGCCAUCUUGGAUGUUAGGACCAUUUGCACUUUCAAAUGACCACAGCCCAGUGACAUCUGACUACAGGGUCAUGAGAAACACCCAGCCAAGCCCUUCCCGAAUUCCUGACCAAAAACUCAUGAGUAACAUAAAACGAGUAUUGUUUUACAACGCUAAGUUUUGCAGUAACUUGUACUCAGGAAUAGUAACCAGGACGCCACCCUAACCCUUCCCUAUGGACUAAGCAAUCUUGAGCAAAUUUCCUUUAAUACUCUGGGCAUGAGAUUUCUCAUGUGUGAGUUUGGAGUGACAGUCUAUAUUUAUGUGGCUGUUGUUUAGAUCAAAAGCAAAUUUUGUCUCAAACCUAGCAAGGUUCCCAGCACAUCCUGCCUUUCCUCAAAUCUAAGAUGCCGUCCAUUAUACAACUCACACUUAACUUAUGUGCCACUAAGAAAGAAACAAAUGCUUUCUAUUAAACUACUGAAUGCCACUGGUUGUAGGACACACACCUGUCUGGGAGAUGUUGAAAUUUGCAAAGAUGUGUAUCUUAGGAUCUUUGAUUUAAAGAGAGAUUAACACAAUCAUCUAGUUAAGUACAGGCACAGAACAAGACCACCGAGAUUUGAGUUUGUGAGAAACGGGGAACUUAAAGCAAAUGUGUCUUUGUAUGAAAGUCUCUAAUUUGCUGUCCCAUUUUACACAAUAGAAUGCAAAGAUCAGUAGAGACAACCUUGUAGUUCAGGCAGAAAGCACCUUCCUCAGGCAGCUGUCAAAGGGUUAGAAUUCAAAUGACAUGGCAUCACAGUUAUUUAACAGAAAUGUAUCUUGCAGAAGAAAGGAAGUCAGAUCCCUAAGUGUGGCUGUGAGUAAUAGUUUUUCUUAGUGGAAACUCACCUCUAGUAAUUAGUAAUAGACCAACCCCCUUUUCUCUUUGGUUUUUGAAUCGUUUCUUUUUUAGAACAUUAACUAGUAGUUCCGUGAGAGAUGUCAGCCAGUGAGCAAAAGGGGUCUGGGCAGUGAGCAGGAUGGCAGGAGACCCAGGCCACAUCUAGUGGAGCAGAAACACAAAGAAGCAUCAGAGUGUCAGCAGACUUGAAGCUAAGCCUGAAUAUGGAGUGCCUCAUUUAGUCAGUUCAGCCACGCAGAGUGUUCCUAUGUUGGCCCUCAUUUGAAAUGUGAGCCCGCUUCAGGACCAGUGAAGUGGAAUGUCUUGCUCAAAGUUACAUAGCUUGGUUCAUUAGACAGAGAGCCUAUGCUCUUAGCCACAGUGCUGUGUGCAUCAAAAUGUUUGCAAAGACAUGGAAGUGGGUUCAUAUGAGACUCUAGCCGGCCCAGGACUCUCAGCACAGCUAUCUUUCCAGCCUUACCCAAACAGGGAAUUCCUUUUCAUACCUCCUUGCUUUUGCCAAAGGGAGUUUUCUACCAAUCAGUUUCUUCUUGCCUCCCCCUUUUCCUGGUGAAACCAAACCAUCCUUCAAGGCCCAGCUCAAAUGGGGCAUCUUAACCCUUGUUCCUACAGGGUGAUUCCUAGCUGCCCUGGACUCCCAGGGCAUUGUCCCCGGGGCCCCUUGGCUGGCCCUCCUGGUGGUGUUGGUGGUUUCUGUUGGUCACACCUAUGAGACUGGAAGUUUCCUGAGGCUCUGGAAUUAGACUGAGUCAGAAUCCCACCUCUACAACUUACAGCUUGUGUUCUUGGGCAAGUUUCUUAGCUUUCUGGGCUUUAAUUUUCUCAUCUACAAAAUGAGAAUAUCAACUUCCCAGGAUUGUCAUGAAAAUUGUGUGUUUGCUGAGAUGGCAUCGUGAGGGCUGAACACUGUUCUUAUGUGAGAGGCGCUUGCUCAGUCUCUGCGUGCGUCAUCUCCUUUCGUCUUCACGCCCACCCUCUGAGGUUGGUUCUUUUACCAUCAUGCCCAUUUACAGAUGAGGUGACACCGUAUGCUCAUGGCCCCACAGCCAGAAUGUGACAAAACUGGGCUCUAAUCUUACCUUUUAAAACUCGCCUCUCUUGACAGGAUCCCGGCGGAAACCUUCCAUGGACUGCAUUCUGAGGAGGUUUUGUCACGUACCAACCUCUUUAGAUGUGCUUUAAUUUGGGUCUUAAUUUCCAACUCAUUCUUAUCUAGGAGAUCUUUACCCUGAUUUGAAGGAAAAUGAUGCUGCAACCAGCUUAGUCUCAGUAGAAGGUUUACACACAGCAUGUGCCAAUAACAGGUACUUCCACCCUUGGGCUCUUCCGGGUGGUGACUUAUCAGCACCACAAUUGUCCAUUUAUAUUGUGAACCAAACACAUGGAUCAGACUAUUGGCCUUGAAAAGCUCAAGCACAGCCUUCAGUGAAAUUCAGUUUCCACUUCAUUCUUUAGUCCAAAGGUUGUGACAAUGGCAGUCUCCGUCUCCCUCGUAUGACUUGGCUGGUUGGGUUUCUCUCUGGUUGACUGUAUUCCUGGCCUCUUGGGGACCCUCUAAAAUGGCAGGCAGAGGAAAGGAGGCAUUUCUGUGUGCUGCCUUCAUUUGUUCCUCAAGGGGUUUCGGCUAAACUCCCUAAACAAAAUGAAUUUGAUUUUAUCUGCCAGAGAACAUUCUAAGUAAAAAGAUCAAGAGCCAUCACCCCAUUGAGCUCUCUCCCCACAUCUCGAGAAGGCUGGGCUCCUUGGAGUGGAGAGUGGGCUGGGACCCCAUUCUGGCAGCAUAGCGGAGAUCUUCCUGCCUCAGUGUGGAUCUGGUGAAUGCUGAGGGACUCAGGGUGGGCUCCGAGGUGGACUCAUUGUCCCAGCUCACUGUGCAGACAGGGCAGUAAGUGCCAGGCCUGGGACUGUGGCCGUAACCUUGGCCGGUGGUCGGCCUUUACUUUCAGCAGCAGCAGAGGGAUCGUAACUGUGGUAGAGAAGGAUGUCGAGGCAGAAAUUGUUGAGGAUCUACACUGUGUCAAGCACUGAGAGAGUUUCUUCAGAUAUUUGGGAUUUUGAACGUAUCUACUCUUCUAAUUUAUUUCCAUCGUCCUCAGAGAACAUGUUCUGUGUGAUUUCGCUCCUUUGAAAUGUAUUGAGAGUGAUCUCGUGGUUCAACAUAUGGCCUGUCUUGGGGAACGAUGCAUGUGAACUUGAAAAGAAUGUGUCCUCUACAGGUUUGGGGUGGCGUGUUCCAUAGACAUUGGUUGUGAAAGACCCAGGACUCCGCCUGGUACAGAACAAUCUUCACUCUGCGGCGCCCCCAGGGGAGGGCAAGUGGGAGACAUCCAUGUGGGUGAAGAGGCACGGCCAGCCCCCCAACCCCAGGUGGCAGACUCUAUGCCAACUUGUCCUCCAUGUGGCCCCCAUAAGAAGAAAGGCCAAGAACUCUAAAAAGACCUCUGAGGCCAAGAGAAAAUGUCCAGGGAUUUGCUCGACGGAGAGAAGCUGGCCCUUGGAGAUGAGGAGGGGUGUAUGUACGUAAGACUCUCUCUCCCCAGCUGCUCUCUCUCUUCUCCUCAGGCCUUCAGCAAACAUUUAUCAGAGACUUGCUCUUCCUGGUAGCUGUUCUAUGUGUGGGGAUGUAAGGAUCAACAUUGCCCCUGUCCUCCCAGAAUUUUCAGGCCACCGGGAAUACAGAAGGACAGAACGACAAGCCCCCGGAUUCCUAAGCCCCAACGAGAGGACCAUUCAGGAACCACUGAAGGCUGAGUUCACCAAGGUGCCACCUCCUGCCCGUCCAGCUCCAUCUCCAGCUUGGGGCUUUGCCAGCUGCUCACUCUACUGCGUUGCUCCCCAUGGGGCAUAGAAUUGGGUCCCCCAAAGAGACACAUUCAAGUCUCAACCUGUGGCACCUAAGAAUGUGACCUCAUUUGGAACUAGGGGUUUUGCAGAUGUCGUCCAGUUCAGAAGAGGUCAUACUGGAUUAGGGUGGCCUCUAAACCCAUGACCAGUGUCCUCAUAAGAAGGACAUGGACACACAGCGGAGUGGGCUGUGUGAAGAUGGAGGCGGAGAAUGGAAUGGUACUCUACAAACCAUGGAAUGCCAAAGAUGGCUGACCAACCGCCAGGGGCUAGAAGAGGCAAGGAAGGAGCUUACCCACAGGUUCGGUGGGAGCACGGCCCGCCGACACCUUGAUCUCUGGCCUCCAGACCUGUGAGAGAAUAAACCUGUGUUGUUUUAAGCCAUGUGGUUUGCGGUACUUUGUUACGGCAGCCCUGGGAAACGCAUCCACCUCUCUUUCAUCCUUUGGUUCUCACCCUAAAUGCCACCUCCUUGAAGGGCUUUCCUGGACUCCCAAUCAUAGCUAGUUAUUUUACUAGUUCUCUACCCAUCGCUUAUUACCACGUGAGAUUCUCUUUUGAAAGCUUCCCCUGACAGACUGUAAGCCCUCUGCCGUCUCCGUGCUGUUCGCGGUGUGUCCCCACUCGGGCAGAAUACCUGCACACACCGACGGAGCAAUAAAUACGUGUUGGAUGGAGGCAUCGCAGUCCAGCGAGAAUCUUCCACACUUGCACAUUCCGUGUAUCAACAUCUGUGUCAUAAGAUCCCCAGUCAGAAGGUUGCCUUGGUGCUUCGCCUACAAAUCCUGAAAAUACAAUUAUUCAAAUUGAGUCGCUCAACCCAUGUCACCUCGCAGUCAGAGAGAUAGGAGGAUCUUUGAGGACUUUCCAAGCCAGGGUCCAUUCUUACUAGUUAGGCUGAACGUGUUUUCCUGCUAAGAAUAGGAACCAGAAAUGAGUAUUACCCAAGUGAUUAGAAAGAUCUUAAAUAGAAAAAGAAAAAACUCCAAAAAUGUAAGUCCGCUCACCCUUACCCUCCUUCUCAACGUCUGCUCCCUGCCUCCCAUCCUUGGGACCUCCCAAUCUUGUCUCCUGGGUCAUGACAAAUGGUGGCCCCAUUUUGGACCGCUCCACAUUCUGUUGUGUUGCUCCUUCUCCAGAUUUAGAUGGAGAUGUCUUUUAGGUGCUUUUAGAUGAUUCUAGAAUUGACAUCUCCCCUGAGACUUAUCUGUCACAUGGUAUGUAGGUUUGGCCUCUGAUGGAUUCAGAAUGACUUUUAUUGUGGACCUAAUGCAUACUGGCUUUUACACUAGGUGGUUUUACAGUCUGCAGCUUCUUUUUCAUUAAAUCUGUUUCACAUCUAUGUUCACUAUGAAGUGAUCUCCCUUCAGAGCUAUUUUACUGAUGAGGAAACUGAAACUCAGAGAGGUUGAGAAAUUUGCCUAAGAUCACACAGCCAAUAAUUGGUAGAACCCUUUUCAAACCUAGGUCUGUCUGACUUCAAUGCUAAUGUCUUUUUCUCUAAAUUUUACAACUGAAAAAAGCAGCCCUAACUAGAAAUUGCCUUAUUAGUAGCAAGGGGCUUUAUUUUAUAAGGAUUCAGCUAUGCUUGGCACUGCCCUGUCAGUGGUUAUCUACUAGCCUGUUGGGAGGGGUUUUGACUGUUGGAUUUAUGGACCCGGGACACUUGGUAUGUGCUCAGGACACUGCACAGACCUGGCAAGCACUCUGGCUGGGGGUCAUCUUCUCCUGGGACUGUGCUUUCUGACUCUGGGACAUUAGUCUAGCCACUUCUCUCCUCCAGCCUCAGUUUCCCCAACCACAAAAUUAGGACUCAGAUUCGAUGAUCUCCAUGUUGCUGUCCUGUCCUGAUAAUCUAGCAUUUUGGCAUCCUGGGGCUAUAACUACCAGUGCUUCCAUGCCCCACAAACUCAAGACUUCCCAUUAUGUCUGGAGUCCAUGGCCUACACCAAAAUGUCCAAGGCACCCAUGCAGGUCCCUCUGUCAGAGGCCCUGCCUUACCCAUCUCUCCCAUGCCAUCAGCACACAUCGUCUCCUCUCUUGGAGUCAGUCCUGCUGGUGGCCCUGGGGCAAGUUUCUUAACGUCUCUGAACUUCCAUAUUCUCCUCUCUGAAAUGAUCUCAAAUAAGCGUAAAAACCCACCUCAUCGGCUCAUUGUGAGGGUUACGUGAAAUAAAACAAUAACCAUUGUUCACUUUCUAGGGGCCUUGAAGUGUGCGGAGUCUUGGCCCAGAAGCGCACACUCUGGAGCCAGAUGGAUGUGUUCAAAUCUUGGCUACGCCACUGACUCACUUACCAGUUGUGUGGGUUUGGGCAAGUUGCUUUACUUCUCUGUGCCUCAGUUUCUUCUUUUGUAAAGCAGGAACAGUACCAACCUACCUCUGGGCUUGUUAUGGGGUUUAAAUGAGUUCGUAUUUGUAAGACACAUAAAAUAGUGAGAGGCACAGAGCAAGUGCCAUGUGAAGAGUUAGAAAUUAUUAUUAGUUCCUCUAAUUCUCAAAUCAGCCUGACGUGGGGUUCUGUCACUAUCCUCAUUUUAUAAAUGGGGAAGAUCAGUAACUUGGCCAAGGCCUUGAACCCACACUGGCCGGCAGGGUCUCAACCUUCAGCCUCACUGACUAACAGAAAGGAGGAGGAUCCAUGCUUGGGGUUUAAUGGUCUGCCAUAGCCAUCUUGAAAUUCUUAAUAAUUUUAUCUUUGAAUCUGUGCUUUGUAAGUGAAGUCCUGCUUCCCGUCCAGUCUCGCCUCCCGAGAUGAGUUCCAGGCUGGCCCCUCCCCUGCCCUUGCCACACCCAGCAUCUGCCCUCAGUCCUGGUGGGGACCUGGGCACAGGCGUGGGGAGGGGCAGGGUCGAGGGGCAGGGCCGUGAGUGGCCGUGAGGGGCAGCACUCACUGGCGAGCAUCCCUGGGCCAGAGGGAGCACAACAUUAAAUAGCAAAUCAAAAAAACCCACAACAGAUGAAAAUAGAGGUCAUGGAAUAAAGUAAAAAGCUCUUUUCCUUCCUCUUUGAACAAGAGGCCCCGUGUUUUCACUUUGCACGGGUGGGCCAGCCCUGGGUCCAGAGCAUGUCACGGUAUAAAUGAAAUGAUAGCUCCCUUCCCCUUCAGAAGAAAACCAGAAAUGCUUAUUCGGGGUUCAGUCACGCAGUGCAGUCUGUUUUGAGUUUUGGUUCGUAGGUAGAGACAGUGUUUUGAAAAAGGGCGGAAAGGUGGCACUUUAGCCACUUCCCACAAAGAUGUCUUCUCCAAGGCCUCCUAAGGCCUUUCUGUGAUUUGCAUGCAAAAAUGUGGGCCAUUUCCCAACCAGCAGCCCUGUUUGGUGGCAGAUAAUA
Equus caballus (horse) is the source of this 17412-nucleotide long non-coding RNA. The record is from Ensembl. Lineage: Eukaryota; Metazoa; Chordata; Mammalia; Perissodactyla; Equidae.